UACGUAGGGCGCAAGCGUUAUCCGGAAUUAUUGGGCGUAAAGAGCUCGUAGGCGGUUUGUCGCGUCGGGUGUGAAAACCUUGGGCUUAACUCAGGGCUUGCUUUCGAUACGGGCAGAUUGGAGUACUGCAGGGGAGACUGGAAUUCCUGGUGUAGCGGUGGAAUGCGCAGAUAUCGGGAGGAACACCAGUGGCGAGGGCGAGUCUCUGGGAUGAUGCUGACGCUGAGGCGCGAAAGCCAGGGGAGCAAACGGG
RNAcentral lists this ribosomal RNA (253 nucleotides) under uncultured bacterium. RNAcentral describes it as "partial 16S ribosomal RNA". It matches the Rfam family "Bacterial small subunit ribosomal RNA", at positions 524 to 776 of the family's 1533-position model. The record is from RNAcentral.